Molecule: non-coding RNA, 732 nt
Organism: Arachis ipaensis
Lineage: Eukaryota; Viridiplantae; Streptophyta; Magnoliopsida; Fabales; Fabaceae
Source: RefSeq, a predicted model, not a curated record
CCCUUUUAUGAAAUAUCCCAGCUCCACUAUAAGUUACUCUGCUUCUCAUUCCUUAUUCCCCAGCCCUAACUUCGAAAACUUUGAAUGAAGGAACCCCUCCCCAAUAGAAGCUCGCACAACUCGCGCUCCCAACGAGGGAUCCUCAGCUUGCGCCGGACCUGGGUCUCCAGCCACUCCCGGUCGCUCAGGUCUCUCCACCAGUCUUCACAGCUUCCGAUUGAGAUCAAGGCGCCCUUUAUCUUCUAAGAUGGCCAGAAAAGGUCGUUUCACGAAAAAAUCGAAAAUAGGACCAGGAUGUCAGCAACCACAAACGGCUCCGCCUCCGGCCUCUGCUACCCACCGCGAUGACUCUGAAAUACUCCCAGACAGUGCAUAUUUUCCACAUUGAUGAAGAUAGCGAAGGAACCAUCAAAAAAAUAUUUUGAAAGCUAUGGGAAAGUCCUGGAAGGAGACAAGGCUGAGGUUGUAUAAUGCUUAUUUCGAGCCAACGUUCACGACUGAACAAAAUAUUGAGAACCGUCCACCGGAAAUAGAUCGAGAGCAUUGGAGAUGGUACCUUGACUAUCGCGCCAAACCCGAGACGAAGAAGAAGUGCAAGAAAAAUGCGAAGAAUCGAUCAAAACAACAGUAUACCCACACUGGCGGUUCGAAGAGCUUUGCACGGCGUUUGGAAGAAGAGUCGGAAGAACAAGGGAGAAUAGUCGGUAGAGGAGAGUUAUGGAUAAAGGUGCA